AGAAGGUGGGCAUUUUAGAUCCAAGCUCACAGCGCUGAGGCAGUAGUAUGCUGCUGGCAGCUGAAAGAGCAACACCCAGCUGAGCUGCUGCUUGGAACAUCCUUGGAGGAACCACCACAUCCCAUUGCUAUGGAGAGCAUCAACAAGAUUCCUGUGUCUGAGCACCAAGAUCUGCAGCUGCUGAUCUUUGUGAGGCUUCUGGUGUAGACAGUGGAGUCCUGGUGUGUUUACAUAUGUGUAGGAUGAGUAGAGGUUGGAGUCUUCUAGAACAUCUGAAGUCCCAGCCUUAAUGAUGUCAUGACCUGCUUUUAAAAGCUGAGUACCCUCCAUUUGCAACCCCCACACUGUGAUGCCAAUACAGUGGCCAUAGCUCCUGAUGACAUCUGCAGUAUCAACAAAAUGAGCCAUGAUCAAAAGUCCAAGGGCAGCAGGACACUGCCUGCCAGAUCUGACACCCAGGGUAUGCAGCAUCUUGGGUGAUAUUUAGAAAACUGCUGAGGGUGGAACUUGCUGGGGACGGCAACCAGCCCAGAGCCCAGUGGAAAGAGAAUGGAGUGAAGAUC
This is a long non-coding RNA of Alligator sinensis (Chinese alligator), 563 nucleotides long. RefSeq lists it as uncharacterized. The record is from RefSeq and is a predicted model, not a curated record. Lineage: Eukaryota; Metazoa; Chordata; Crocodylia; Alligatoridae. The transcript has 5 exons.